CAGGGAAUCUUGCGCAAUGGGCGAAAGCCUGACGCAGCGACACCGCGUGGGGGAUGAAGGCUUUCGAGUUGUAAACCCCUUUUCUCGGGGAUGAGAAAGGACAGUACCCGGGGAAUAAGGUUCGGCUAACUACGUGCCAGCAGCCGCGGUAACACGUAGGAACCAAGCGUUGUCCGGAUUUACUGGGCGUAAAGUGCGCGUAGGCGGCUCGUUAAGUCUCAUGUGAAAUCUCCCGGCUCAACUGGGAGGGGUCAUGGGAAACUGGCAGGCUUGAGUGCAGUAGAGGGGAGCGGAAUUCCCGGAGUAGUGGUGGAAUGCGUAGAUACCGGGAGGAACACCAGAGGCGAAGGCGGCUCCCUGGGCUGUGUCUGACGCUGAGGCGCGAAAGCGUGGGUAGCAAACCGGAUUAGAUACCCGCGUAGUCC
This 425-nucleotide ribosomal RNA is filed under the name uncultured prokaryote. Its description in RNAcentral is "bacterial SSU rRNA". It matches the Rfam family "Bacterial small subunit ribosomal RNA", at positions 355 to 796 of the family's 1533-position model. The record is from RNAcentral.